RNAcentral lists this long non-coding RNA (1244 nucleotides) under Mytilus galloprovincialis (Mediterranean mussel). Lineage: Eukaryota; Metazoa; Mollusca; Bivalvia; Mytilida; Mytilidae. The record is from RNAcentral.
UGAUGGGGUAUAUAAAACAUAUUUUUGCCGUUUAUUGUACAUAACAAUUUUUAAAUCUAAACAAAUAGUUGUUUUAGUUAAAUAGAAUGAAAUUCAUGAUUUAUUCCUUUGGUUUUGGGUAGAACUGUUUUUCAUCCCUCUCAUUAAGUCCAUCAGGUUCAAGAGUACGUAGCUGAUGCAUCCAGAACCUUUCUCUCUGUUUUCUCCUUUCGGAGUCCCAAUUUUGAUUUACCUCAAUUAUUUGAAAGGUGAUAUUAUCAAAAGUAUGUCCUGUUCUUAAGAGGUGUCUCGUAAUUGGACAGUUUCUUCCUUUUGUAUAGAACGACCGGUGAUUGUUAAGUCUGAUGUUGAAUGUAGUUUCUGUUUCACCAACAUACUGCAGCUUGCAAGUUCCACAAGUAAGAAUAUAAAUACUAUUUUCCGUUUUGCAAUUAGAUGUAACAUAGAUGUUGUAUCGCUGCUUUGUUACUGUGCUGCUGAAAGAGUGGUCAGUGUUGGCGGCUUUACAGCACUUACAAUUGCUUCUACCGCAUUGUUUGUAACACCCAAAUUUAGAAGUUUCUUGUUUCUUUACUUUUGAUGUCACAAGUAUGUCUUUGAGAUUUUUGGGUCUGCGAUAGGCAAUAACAGGAGGUGAUGGAAAAAUUUCUUUUAAGGAAGAGUCAUUUUCGAUAAGACGCCAGUGCUUUCGGAUAGUAGAUGAAAUAUUUGUCAAAUCGGGAUGGAAGGUUACAACAAACGGAAUUCUAUCUGCACGGGUCGUCUUAUCUUUGUAUUCCAUGAGGCUAGCUCGAUCUUUUUCUUGGGCUUUAUCAAAAGCGUCUGUGAUGUUUUUGGUUUUAUAUCCUCUUGAUUUCAGCUGUGUUUUUAGUUGUCCCAAACGAUAGUUAAGUUUGGAUUCCGAGGAGCAAAUUCGCUUUAGUCUGAUGGCUUGACUGUAAGGUAUACUCCUGGAGCAGUGUUUCGGGUGACAACUUUUUGGAGAAAGGAACUGGUGUUUAUCAGUUUUCUUUGUGUGGAGAUCAGUUGUCAUGACCCCGUUUUUUACAAAUGUGGUGGGUGUCGAGAAAAGCAAUUUUUCUCGCUUGAAAAUUCAGAUGUAAAUUUAAUUGAGUGAUGGAACUGAUUACAAUGAUCUAGGAAAUCUUGCAAAUGUUCUGCAGUAUCGUUCCAUUUCAUGUCAAUAUCAUCAAUAAAACGGAGCCAUGACAAGGGUUUGUAUGGCACACUCAAAAGGAUGCGUU